This 2966-nucleotide long non-coding RNA is filed under the name Citrus sinensis (sweet orange). RNAcentral's name for it is "long non-coding RNA (CSIN_LNC003692)". The record is from RNAcentral. Lineage: Eukaryota; Viridiplantae; Streptophyta; Magnoliopsida; Sapindales; Rutaceae.
ACGAGCAGCUAAACCAACAUGACUGAAUCAAUGAAUCUAAUCAACAACGAGCAAUGGAGAUGGGCUGCGAUUCGCGAUGAAUCCAACCGGUGACAAGCUACUCAACCGACUAGUGGGUGAUGCGUAAGAAGAAGAGAAGAGAGAGGAGCCAAGUGGUGAAACCACGAGGUGGUCGUCCGGUGUCGAGCAACAAAGAUUGCAAUCAACGAUGAGCUACUCAACCAAUAAAGAUGCUGCAGCCAUUCGUUUCUAGGUAAGAAAAACAAGAUGGGUUAUUCGACUACUAGGUCAAAGAUUUUGUUUUUUCCUUCUUUUUUUUUUUCAAUUUAUAUUUUUAAUUGCAAAGAGAAUAUUUUGGAAAAAUAGAAAAAACAAUCGCCAUAGUUUUGUCUUUAGGGGGAAUGGGAUACCCCCAAACUGGAAUGAGAAUCCCAUUAAUCAAUCCUUAUUUUAUGUGGAUCCCGUGCACCUUCUUCCAUUCCCACACUCAAUUAAACAAGUAAACAAUUUCUUUAUUCUGAUUCCCGUUACUGUCUAGUAAACACUCCCAAUAGUCUAAAAGUCUAAAAGAACAGCGUGAAGUAUUCUAUUCUCUAGAUUAUAGAUGAUACAUCCCCAAAAUCGAUCCUUCUUACCAAUAUACUUACAACCCCGUAGUGUAAGAAUCUAAAAAGAUACAGAGACCGAGGGGGAAAAAAAGAAAGAAAAAAUGAAAAACAAAGUUUCUUAGGUACACACUCCACUCGGAAAAAUUAUUUAAAAAAAAAAAAUCAAAAACUCGAACGAGAGAAGGAAUCAAAACAGAUCAAAGAACAUUAGUACGCCCUAAAACCAAAUUGCUCACGCCUCACGAUCUAGAAUGAAACUCUCCAGUCUCCACACUUUAGAAGAACAAAUACAAAUGUUUAGAACACCCAUGCAGCCCAUUCAAGUUUCAACCAUUUCCUGGGCAGAGCAGCAGUAACAGCUUUAACAGAUACAGCUCCCUGGUCUGAGCUGACUCAAAGAAACCUCUCUUCAGCUCACCACUGUUAUCUUUUCAGACCUGAGCCAUCUGCUGCUUCAGUGCCUGCAGGGACUUGAUUUUGGAUUCACAAAUCCGAAGAAAUGCAGAGAGUCCUGCACGCUGCCCAGCUACAAAUUUCCUUGCAACAUCAACAGGACUCCAAGAUUUCAUAGCUUGAGAUAUCCGAUCACCAAGUUCUGCCUCAUUCAAGGAUGAGAUCAGUGUUCCAAGAAGCCGGAACACCUGCCCAGGACCGUCACCCCUGUCAUUUGCCUCAAGAGAGGAGAAUAUAGCAUCUAACUUUUCAUCCUCUGACUUCUUGAUAUGAUGCCCUAACCACUUUGCUACCUCUUCCACUACGCCACUUGUAGAUUGAACAGAGCCCCGAAUAUCAUGAGACAGUGGAGAGGUAGAAUGAUCUGCAGAUCCACUUUUCUUCUUCUUCUUUCCAGAUGGAAGAGAUGAUCGGACACAAGAUUGCAUUACAAGUGUAUGCCAAGCCAACGGUUCUGUGACAAGUUGCACCAAAACUGAAAGAUCAAGCCGUGGAUAGCAUACAAGUGACUCCAUGGAUCUGACCUCCAAAAUACACUUCUUCAGCAGUGUAUUCACAACCUGCCAAGUAGAAGGCCUGCAUCCAUUUACAUCCGGCAGCACAACUUCAUGGGAACUCAAGUUCCAUGCAUUCAAAAAUACAGCAAAAUUCAACCAACCAACCAUGUCCGCACCAAAAGCCUGCCUCACAGGUAAAAAAGUUACUUUAAUAGGGCAGCAGUGUAACUAAUGAGUCAGCAAGCAUGCAUACGCCUCAAUUACUAACUUUUCUUCAGUGGCGAAGUGUACGCACUACUUGCACUUAAGAUGUAAUCAUGAUCAACCUGAUAGAAUUUCAGCUCUUUUAAUUUCCCAGAAAAUUUUGUUAUUUUACUAAGCUUAUUUCCAUGUUGUAUAUUUCCAUGCCAAAAUAUGUCAAAUGAACUUAUGGCUUUUAAAGGGAGAGGAGAAAUAUUUUGAAAAGCUUGCUAUGCCAAAUUCAAAAGUGGUUCACCAUGUAUAUCGGUUUUGGGUACUCACCACAUAGGCAUCUUGUCUAUGUAAUUGGAGCAUUGCAACGAAAUUCAGUAACACUUACAAAAUUAAAGGAUCCUAGCAAAGCGAAGAUAUGUGCUUGUAGUCAGAAAGCCAGCAAUCACUUACCUCAGAAGAGUUCAAGCCACUAGAAACCCCUGAAACCACUUCUACUGCAUCUCUUAAAGAAAACCCCAACAUUUUUGCAUAGCGAUCAAGCAAAUACUUCAGCUCUGACGAAACUUUUGGGUCACAUAUAGAUCCAUUGACUUCAAAGUUUUCCUUGACGCAUGCUGAAACAGUCUGAAUUGACAGAUAUAUCAACCGAGGCAGAAGAGAUUUCCUCUCAACAACUCCUAGUAUAUUUGCUUCCCUUUCUUUCAUCUAGAUUUGCUCAAUAUAUAGAAAACGAUCGAAAGUUACAAAACGAAAAGGAGGGAUUAUGUGUGUAUCAUUACAAAGUCAAGGACAGAGGAUAGUACCAAGUUCUCUUUAGGACAGUAGGAGAUUCCUGCAAAUGGACCUGUGCAAAACAAUUGUCAACACAUUGUAAGAAACGAACAUAAGAAGACACCCACUAUAACACCCAACACUGUCAUACACAACAUUGCAGAAUAAAUCUUGAAAGUUCUAACUUCUAAAAGCAUACAAAUCCUAAGCAAGGAAAGUAGUAUCAUUUUUCUUCAAGAACAAAAUUCAGAGAAGAGCCACACUACACUAGACAAUAUCUUAUCCUUUUCUGACGCAUCUUUAUUUUCGUUGACUUCUAUCAUUGUCAAACAAUUCAGUUGCACAAAAUGUUACCAUACCAAAGAACUGCAAGCACAUUGGAAAGGUCCAGUGUUUUAACUUACCUAACAGAUAAUUCUUAUCUGGAGUUGGUGCCCACCAG